RNAcentral lists this ribosomal RNA (455 nucleotides) under uncultured bacterium. RNAcentral describes it as "bacterial SSU rRNA". It matches the Rfam family "Bacterial small subunit ribosomal RNA", at positions 28 to 523 of the family's 1533-position model. The record is from RNAcentral.
GACGAACGCUGGCGGUGUGCUUCACACAUGCAAGUCGAACGAGGUAGCAAUACCUAGUGGCGGACGGGUGAGUAACGCGUGGGAAUCUGCCCAUAGGUGGGGGAUAACUAGCCGAAAGGUUAGCUAAUACCGCAUAUGCCGAGAGGUAAAAGGAGUAAUCCGCCUUUGGAUGAGCCCGCGUCCGAUUAGCUAGUUGGUAGGGUAAAAAGCCUACCAAGGCUACGAUCGGUAGCUGGUCUGAGAGGAUGAUCAGCCACAAUGGGACUGAGACACGGCCCAUACUCCUACGGGAGGCAGCAGUGGGGAAUUUUACGCAAUGGGGGAAACCCUGACGUAGCGACACCGCGUGAACGAAGAAGCCCUUUGGGGUGUAAAGUUCUGUCGGCUGGAACGAAAAAAAUGACGGUACCAGCAAAGGAAGCAUCGGCUAACUAACGUGCCAGCAGCCGCGGUAA